Long non-coding RNA from Panthera uncia (snow leopard), 5521 nucleotides. RefSeq lists it as uncharacterized. The record is from RefSeq and is a predicted model, not a curated record. The transcript has 2 exons. NCBI's taxonomy places the organism in Eukaryota, Metazoa, Chordata, Mammalia, Carnivora, Felidae.
UUUAGUUCUGUGUGUUUCUGGAAGGAGCCUGGGAACAGGUGCAUGGUUUUGGAGACGCUGCUGCCCCCACCCCCACCCCGGCACUGGCUCCCCGGGGGAAGGAGAACUUCCUGGCCCGCCCUGCCCCUGCCCUGCGACGGCUGCACCCAGAGAACUGAGACAGGAAGUGGGUGGCGGCCGCAGGGAGGGCGGCACCCGUGCAGGCGGUUUACGUGGGAGCCACGAGGACCUUGCCCCACGGCCUCUUCUGGUGGCUUCGAGGGUCAGGACUUGGAGAACGUGGACACGGGACUUGCGCAGAAAGGCCUGGUGAGAAGUUGGAGCUUCUGUGACUUCUGUGCCCCGACAGGCCCGCAGCCCCUGUGCCGGCGACGCCCCGGCCGAGGUGAGCGAGGCCCCAGGCCUGUCCUCUCUUGCUGGGUCUCCCUUUCCUCUGGGGGCUGUGGUGCAGCUGAGCCCAGGAAACGUGUGACGUUGCCGUAGAGACGGUAACCCGCCCAGGUGCCUCACAGCGGCCCUUCCCCCUUCUUCCUGCCUGUCCUCCCUGCUGACUUCUGAGGUCACAGGGAGGGGACUCGGCAAGGGCAGGAGGCACAUUUAGGGGGGAGUCCUGUCCAGCUCCUGACGGAGGAGGCACAGGAGAGCGGUGUGCGAGAAUCUGGCCCUCCGUGUCCUGGCUCUGUGGCCUUCGUUCUUCAGGUGCCUAACAAACAGCGGAAGACUUUCCAGCCCCUUCGCUUUCGGUUUCGUGUGCUCCCUACAACAAGGUUCUGGAAGGUUCCCGAGCGGAGCAGAUGGCAGUGCAGGCCGCCCCCGAUGCGUCCACUGGCGCCUCCUGCUCCUGUGUCCCCCCCGCCCCGCGUGGACGGGAAACCGCUCUCUGUGGGAGAGAAAUGGAAGCAGAAGCGUCCCCGCCGCGGGAGCAGAGCCAGUAGAGGCGCUCGGGGAUGUCGCCCGGGAUUCGUCACACUUGGCGCGUGGACCGCCGGAGCGACAACAUUUGAAAACCACUCCGGUCUCACCGACAGAAAGCCAAACUCACCACGAGGCCCUCCCGAGCCCGUGGCCGGACCACGCAAGGUCAUUCCCACGUGGGCGAGGGUGGCCGUGUGACCUUGGGGACCCCAGGUCUGAGUACCACAAGCCGGCUCGCGCCCCGCGCCCUCCCCUCUCUGCCCGAGGCCUCCGGCGGACCCUCUGAGGACAGCCCGUGGGUGAGGUCUCAGAGGCCCGGCUGCGUGUGCUGGGCGGACGGCUGGCUCGGCCGACGGGAGGGCUUUCUGCCAGCCUGUCCCUGGCAUCCUGCCAUCCCCUGGCGACCAUAAGUUCACCAAGUCCCUUGGUGGGGACAAGUCCCUUCAGGGGGACAGUUUGGGAUUCCGAGGUACCCCCAAGCACAAGUGACGUGGGAAGCAAAGGCAGAAGAAAAAGGUGAAUUUCCUCACUGUCUACACCCCACUGACAGUCCUUGAGACAGACAGAGUGACCCUCCUCCAGGGCCCCAGCUGCCUCGAUGAUGACGCUUUGCUCAGGGCAAGAGGCAGCCGUAGCUUCACAUUAGCCCCACGUCCGGGGUCCUGUGUGUCUGCUUUACCACCCACACAUUCCUCUGGAAACUUCCUUUAUCUCUGCCGCCCAGAUACAUGCUAGCAAUCCUUUCCAAGCUUAUGGUCCCCGGAUGUGCACCUGAAGGGUCUCAUGACCGAGGUUUGACUGAACAGUAAUAAGUGAUCUUAUCCUAGCAGCAGCUAGCCCCUGGUUUCCAAAUUCCUUAGAGACUUCCGCUGUCUCUAACCCCCUCCCAACCUGAGGGUCCCUAAUCAGUCAGUUGGCACAGCCCAGGGCAGUGCUGCCUGCCCCUGGAUCCUGUGUCCGUGCUUUUGUUAUUAUUUUUUAAUGUUUAUUUAUUUUUGAGAGAGAGACAGAGCGUAAGUGGGUUAGGGGCAGGGAGAGAGGGAGACACAGAAUCCGAAGCAGGCUCUGGGCUCCGAGCCCCGACGCGGGGCUCGAACCCAUGGACCCUGAGAUCGUGACCUGAGCCGAAGUCGGGUGCUUCACCGACGGAGCCCCCCAGGCGCCCCCAACUGUUUAUGUUUUAAGGGAAGACGUAGCAUCGGACCUUGUGACCUCAGCACCUGCCCUGCAAGGCUGGGUGCCGUCCACAGCGUCUGACACGUCUCUGUCCUCCUUGGAGCCCCAGGUGGGUUACUGGCUUCACCGGCAUCUGUGAACACGGCCCCCUCGGAGGGACCUUCCCUUGCUUUGCGGAGGACAGUCCCGUGAGGCGCGUCCUCCUUCACCUUGACCUAGACUGACAUGAAGCGAUCUGAGGCGACGGUGCGCUUCUGUGGUGAUUUACUUUUGUUAAUGUUUUAUACGCCAGCUCCUCUCCAGUCCCAUUUUCCUGUGGGAACUGGAAGGGUUCUCCAGCAUUUUUCUCACUCUUGGCGUUGGCCUCGAGGAGUUGGCAGAAUUUUGAGCUAUGCUCUCUCGGCAGCCAUCUUGUGGUGUGCAAACGAAAACAAAAACAAAACGCACGACACAAACACCAGUUAGUGGCUUAGAGCAAUCAUUGUCUAACGGUGUCCUGUGUGGUCGACUCAGCCUACGUGAUAAAGAUAUCUUUAGUUCACAAAUAUCUUAUUAGAACAUUGGGAGGACCUGGGAAUGCGAGCUGGUGUGGCCACUCUGGAAAACAGGAUGGAGGUUCCUCAAAAAGCUGAAAAGAGAACAACUACCCUACGACCCAGCAAUGGCACUACUCGGCAUUUCUCCACGGGGUACGGGUGUGCUGUUUCGAAGGGCCGCGUGCACCCCAAUGUUUACAGCAGCGCUAUCGACAAGAGCCAAAGUAUGGAAAGAGCCCGAAUGUCCAUCGAUGGAUGAAUGGAGAAAGAAGAGGUGGGGGGCGCCUGGGUGGCGCAGUCGGUUAAGCGUCCGACUUCAGCCAGGUCACGAUCUCGCGGUCCGUGAGUUCGAGCCCCGCGUCGGGCUCUGGGCUGAUGGCUCGGAGCCUGGAGCCUGCUUCCGAUUCUGUGUCUCCCUCUCUCUCUGCCCCUCCCCCGUUCAUGCUCUGUCUCUGUCCCAAAAAUAAAUAAAAAACGUUGAAAAAAAAUUUUAUAAAAAAAAAGAAGAGGUGGGAUAUAGAUACAAUGGAGUAUCGCUCAGCGAUCAAAAAGAAUGAAAUCUCACCAUUUGCAACUACGUGGAUGGAACUGGAGGGUAUUAUGCUAAGUGAAAUUAGUCAGAGAAAGACAAAAAUUCUAUGACUUCACUCAUAGGAGGACUUUAAGAGGCAAAACAGAUGAACAUAAGGGAAGGGAACCAAAAAUCAUAUAAAAACAGGGAGGGGGACAAAACAGAAGCGAUUCUUAAAUAUGGAGAACAAACCGAGGGUUAUGGGAGGGGUUUUGUGGGAGGGGAGGUGGGCUAAAUGGGGGAGGGGCACUAAGCAAUCUACUCCUGAAAUCAUUGUUGCACGAUAUGCGAACUAGUUGGGAUGUAAAUUAAAAAAAAAAUUAAAAAUAAAUAAGUAAAGAAAAAGAAAAAACAAAAAGCACACUGGGAGGACCACCUUUCACCCAUUAGGAUGGCUGCUAAAAACAAAAAAGCCAAAGAACCAGAAAAUAACGGGUGUUGGUGAGGAUGUGGAGAAACCGGAAGCUUUGUGCCCUGCUGGCGGGAAGGUCACGGAGCAGCCACUGUGGAAAACAGUAUUGGCCGUUCCUAGAAAAAUUUAGUAUAGGGGCGCCUGGGUGGCUCAGUCGGUUAAGCGGCCGACUUCGGCUCAGGUCAUGAUCUCACGGUCCGUGAGUUCGAGCUCCGCGUCGGGCUCUGUGCUGACGGCUCGGAGCCCGGAGCCUGCUUCGGAUUCUGUGUCUCCCUCUCUGUGCCCCUCCCCUGGCCACAGUCAGUCUCUCUCUCUCUCUCUCUCUCUCAAAAAUAAAUAAGCGUAAAAAAUUUAAAAAGAAUGGUUAUGAUGAUAAAUUUUAUGUUAUGUGUAUUUUACGCUAGUUACAAAGAAAGCAAAAAAAUUGUUAGUGUUUCCAGGUGUUACUGAGUAGGGUAGUGAGUGAGCCAAGGGUCUCCAAAGUAACCGGCAGGAAGUUAUGCUGCCCUUUUGGAUGUGAUACAGAAAACUCGUUAUUAACGGGAGCCCCUAAUUUGACCCUAUGGUUGGGAAUGUUGAAAAGGGAGCUGCAUCCCGUUGAAACCGUGGUCAGCUCGCUAGGACUGCCCAGAAGCGAAUAUACUGCCCCAUAGGCUCAUGGGAAGGAAGACUGGGGUCAAGGCCUAGGGCAUUUCUUUAAAAGCUGAGCACCAGGGUUCCCGGGUAGCCUAUCCUGGCCCCAGAAGGAGCCCCAGAGACAGACGCCCUGGGCGUCCUUCCUUCUGGUCACCACGGGGGUUAAGUCUUGGCUUAACCUACGGAUCAACGGCAGCGGUCUCCGGGGAAUGAUCACGGAGAAGGUCAGAAGUUAAAAAGGAAAAAGUACUGAGCAUUUUUAAAAAGGGAAUGCUACGUGUCUGUAGAUGUGAUAUUUUGGGGGGUGCCGUCACGAUGCUGCUCUGUGGGUUGACGCCGUGGGAAGUUCGCACCUUGUACUUUCGUGCUUUACAAGUGAGAUCAUUCCGGACGGUCCAACUUAAACCUUCCUCUGUCGUGUUCCCAGGACACGUCCCACGUACACCUGUCACCACCCUCACCCCGUCACGGGCGUCUCCCCCAUCACACAAACGGAUGACUCGAAGUCCGUUGUACGCGUGCCUCUAGAAGCCAGACUAGAGGACGUUCUGUCCCUCCUGGGGACUUCUGAGCUUCGAGGCUGAUAACGUCAAGACACACGGAGCUUUCACUCCACCUGACCCCACUGUUCCAUGAGCUGGAGGCUUCUCCGGCCGCUCAGAAAGCGGCUCGUACGUGGGCUUUCUGUCUACAUUUCGGGGCCAAAGAACACCCGAGACUGCUCUCCCUGAGCCCAGGAACUUGGCCUUGCCUCUACCCUUUGAUUCUUCCCUCCGGGACUCUUCAUUCUGAUGCCCUGAUUCUGGACUCAGGAGGACUGUCUGUCCUUCCCAAGGCCUGUCUUGGAACAAAGACUCAGGUAACCAGGGCAAGAUCACCGUAAUCCUUAUGAGUACAGGAUCCAGUGCAAUUAGAUCUGAGUAAAACAUGCUUGAGGGCGAUGAUGUAAAAUAUUCGAGAUGAAUGUUUAAAAUUUUUUUAACGUUUAUUAUUGAGAGACAGAGCACGAGUGGGGGAGGGGCAGAGAGAGAGGGAGACACAGAAUCUGAAGCAGGUUCCGGGCUCCGAGCUGUCGGCACAGAGCCCGACGCGGGGCUCGAACUCACGGACCGUGAGAUCGUGACCUGAGCCGAAGUCGGAAGCUCGACCGACUGAGCCCCCCCGGGUGCCCCUCGAGAUGAAUGUUUAAAAUAAAAUAUGCAUAAUUAUUUUAAGUUUCUUCACUUUAUUUGAAGCAAGAACAUCCUAAAUGAUUGUACAACCUAAAACCUGUUU